GCGCCUAUCACAUGCAAGUCGAACGCAGUAGCAAUACUGAGUGGCAAACGGGUGAGUAUAAUGUGGGAAUCUGCCUUUUGGUUCGGAAUAACACGAGGAAACUUGUGCUAAUACCGGAUAAGCCCUUACGGGGAAAGUUUUAAUGCCAAAAGAUGAGCCCGCACUUGAUUAGCUAGUUGGUAAGGUAAUGGCUUACCAAGGCAACGAUCAAUAGCUGUUCUUAGAGGAAGACCAGCCACAUUGGGACUGAGACACGGCCCAAACUCCUACGGGAGGCAGCAGUGGGGAAUCUUGCACAAUGGGGGAAACCCUGAUGCAGCGAUGCCGCGUGAGUGAAGAAGGCCCUUGGGUUGUAAAACUCUUUCGUCGGGGAAGAAAAUGACUGUACCCGAAUAAGAAGGUCCGGCUAACUUCGUGCCAGCAGCCGCGGUAAUACGAAGGGACCUAGCGUAGUUCGGAAUUACUGGGCUUAAAGAGUUCGUAGGUGGUUGAAAAAGUUGGUGGUGAAAUCCCAGAGCUUAACUCUGGAACUGCCAUCAAAACUUUUCAGCUAGAGUAUGAUAGAGGAAAGCAGAAUUUCUAGUGUAGAGGUGAAAUUCGUAGAUAUUAGAAAGAAUACCAAUUGCGAAGGCAGCUUUCUGGAUCAUUACUGACACUGAGGAACGAAAGCAUGGGUAGCGAAGAGGAUUAGAUACCCUCGUAGUCCAUGCCGUAAACGAUGUGUGUUAGACGUUGGAAAUUUAUUUUCAGUGUCGCAGCGAAAGCGAUAAACACACCGCCUGGGGAGUACGACCGCAAGGUUA
This 803-nucleotide ribosomal RNA is filed under the name uncultured bacterium. Its description in RNAcentral is "bacterial SSU rRNA". It matches the Rfam family "Bacterial small subunit ribosomal RNA", at positions 44 to 896 of the family's 1533-position model. The record is from RNAcentral.